RNAcentral lists this ribosomal RNA (528 nucleotides) under Alternaria sp. RNAcentral describes it as "eukaryotic LSU rRNA". The stretch from base 169 to 322 matches the Rfam family "5.8S ribosomal RNA". The record is from RNAcentral. Lineage: Eukaryota; Fungi; Ascomycota; Dothideomycetes; Pleosporales; Pleosporaceae. RNAcentral also lists the same sequence under 1 other name.
UUACACAAAUAUGAAGGCGGGCUGGAACCUCUCGGGGUUACAGCCUUGCUGAAUUAUUCACCCUUGUCUUUUGCGUACUUCUUGUUUCCUUGGUGGGUUCGCCCACCACUAGGACAAACAUAAACCUUUUGUAAUUGCAAUCAGCGUCAGUAACAAAUUAAUAAUUACAACUUUCAACAACGGAUCUCUUGGUUCUGGCAUCGAUGAAGAACGCAGCGAAAUGCGAUAAGUAGUGUGAAUUGCAGAAUUCAGUGAAUCAUCGAAUCUUUGAACGCACAUUGCGCCCUUUGGUAUUCCAAAGGGCAUGCCUGUUCGAGCGUCAUUUGUACCCUCAAGCUUUGCUUGGUGUUGGGCGUCUUGUCUCUAGCUUUGCUGGAGACUCGCCUUAAAGUAAUUGGCAGCCGGCCUACUGGUUUCGGAGCGCAGCACAAGUCGCACUCUCUAUCAGCAAAGGUCUAGCAUCCAUUAAGCCUUUUUUUCAACUUUUGACCUCGGAUCAGGUAGGGAUACCCGCUGAACUUAAGCAUA